UACGUAGGUGGCGAGCGUUGUCCGGAUUUACUGGGCGUAAAGGGAGCGUAGGCGGACUUUUAAGUGAGAUGUGAAAUACCCGGGCUUAACUUGGGUGCUGCAUUUCAAACUGGAAGUCUAGAGUGCAGGAGAGGAGAAUGGAAUUCCUAGUGUAGCGGUGAAAUGCGUAGAUAUUAGGAGGAACACCAGUAGCGAAGGCGGCUCUCUGGACUGUAACUGACACUGAGGCACGAAAGCGUGGGGAGCAAACAGGAUUAGAUACCCGGGUAGUCCCU
Molecule: ribosomal RNA, 275 nt
Filed under: uncultured prokaryote
Description: partial 16S ribosomal RNA
Rfam family: Bacterial small subunit ribosomal RNA
Source: RNAcentral